UACCAUGAUCAUGCUGAAGAUGCAUUUGUGCUUCCCAGCGGCUACCCGGAAGAGCAGGGCGGCUCGGAUGCUUUCACAAACAGCAAUGCGCGUCGCAUCAACAUUGAAUCGAUUGUCGAUGUUACUGAUGACCAAAAACUUGCUGCUGCUGUUGCUGAUUCUGUACAGAGUACCCAAGAGGUUGGGCAUGUUGCUCAUGGUAUGGCAAUCGUGCC
Prunus avium (sweet cherry) is the source of this 215-nucleotide non-coding RNA. Lineage: Eukaryota; Viridiplantae; Streptophyta; Magnoliopsida; Rosales; Rosaceae. The record is from RefSeq and is a predicted model, not a curated record.